UGGGCGCAAGCCUGAUCCAGCCAUGCCGCGUGUGUGAAGAAGGCCCUCGGGUUGUAAAGCACUUUCAGCGAGGAAGAACGCCUGGCGGUUAAUACCCGCCAGGAAAGACAUCACUCGCAGAAGAAGCACCGGCUAACUCCGUGCCAGCAGCCGCGGUAAUACGGAGGGUGCAAGCGUUAAUCGGAAUUACUGGGCGUAAAGCGCGCGUAGGUGGCUUGAUAAGCCGGUUGUGAAAGCCCCGGGCUCAACCUGGGAACGGCAUCCGGAACUGUCAGGCUAGAGUGCAGGAGAGGAAGGUAGAAUUCCCGGUGUAGCGGUGAAAUGCGUAGAGAUCGGGAGGAAUACCAGUGGCGAAGGCGGCCUUCUGGACUGACACUGACACUGAGGUGCGAAAGCGUGGGUAGCAAACAGGAUUAGAUACCCUGGUAGUCCACGCCGUAAACGAUGUCGACCAGCCGUUGGGUGCCUAGCGCACUUUGUGGCGAAGUUAACGCGAUAAGUCGACCGCCUGGGGAGUACGGCCGCAAGGUUAAAACUCAAAAAGAAUUGACGGAUCC
Molecule: ribosomal RNA, 557 nt
Filed under: uncultured bacterium
Lineage: Bacteria
Description: bacterial SSU rRNA
Rfam family: Bacterial small subunit ribosomal RNA
Source: RNAcentral